GCCUUCUUAGCUCAGUUGGUUAGAUCGCCUGCCUAGUAUCGUAAGAACAGCUAGCAGGAGGCCACCAGUUCAAAUCUGGUAGAAGGCA
Molecule: transfer RNA, 88 nt
Organism: Rhizoclosmatium globosum
Lineage: Eukaryota; Fungi; Chytridiomycota; Chytridiomycetes; Chytridiales; Chytriomycetaceae
Rfam family: tRNA
About the family: Transfer RNA (tRNA) molecules are approximately 80 nucleotides in length. Their secondary structure includes four short double-helical elements and three loops (D, anti-codon, and T loops).
Source: Rfam